RNAcentral lists this long non-coding RNA (1351 nucleotides) under Sorghum bicolor (sorghum). Its description in RNAcentral is "long non-coding RNA (SBIC_LNC001505)". Lineage: Eukaryota; Viridiplantae; Streptophyta; Magnoliopsida; Poales; Poaceae. The record is from RNAcentral.
GUGGUAGCGCCGGCGGUGGUCAAAGUUCUCUGGGAUACCUCUUUGGAAGCGGUGAGCCCCCCAAACCAGCAGUGGCACCACCAGCUGCAUGUGCUCCACCUGCUGAGAAACCAUCGGCUGCAAAGCCUGAUGCCACCAAACAGGUUGCUGCUGGGGUCACCAGCCAAACCAAUAACUACCACAGGGCUGAUGGCCAGAACACCGGGAACUUCCUUACGGUAUGCUAGUUUACCUUCUUUCAUUUCACAUAAGACUUUGUUUUACAUAUUUGUUGCCAUCAUCUGUUGAUAUGCUUAGAAAUGAUGUCAUAGUUUGUGAGAUGUUUAGAUGAGGUGUAAUCAUGUUAUGAGAAAGCAGUAUGGUAGUUUGUGUUGUGUUGUCACAUAAUGUAUGUACUUAUUCUAACAACCUGCUAGAAUUAUGUUGAUGGAAAGACUUCCAAUCACGUAUAUUGCUCUUUAAAUCGUACUGAGUCUUGAUUCUUGUGGGGUUGUUGACCUGUUGUGCUACAUCCUGAAUUCUUGAAUGUUUGGACCAUCAAUCAUGAGCAAGGUUUUAAAUAGCGGGCUAAGGUGUUUAGCAGUCUAUGUCUAAAACAGCUAAUAGCGGAGCUAAAUCGGGCUAUAGCGGGAUAUAGCGGCUAAAUUGUACAUAAACAUAAAUAGCGGUACCCUGCCUCAAAAGGCUAUAGCGGCAGCAAUAGCGAGAGAUUUAAAACUAUGAUCAUGAGCCAUGUACCAUUUUAUCGCCAACACUAAAUGCUAACACCUUGUUAGUGGCAAAAAAUUUAAUGCCCCUAAGAAAAUAGUCAGACCAUGUCUUUCCAUAAACCAUUGGCUAGAACCUGCUGAACCAAACAUUCCCAUAGUUGUGUCAUGACACAGAAUCUGAUUGGGCAAUACAAGAGUGCAAAUUAGGAAUCCUCAUCCUCAUUCCAGGGAAUACUGAAUUAUGAAUCCUAUUGCAGUUUCAUUCAAAACUACAGAUUCAUAUAUGAAACAUUGUUGCAAACUAAAUAUAUAACAGAGAAAGCAGGUGAACCUGGUUUACCUAAUCACUCCCCAGAAACCAAACCUUGUUUCUUCAUUUACCAGUUAUGCAAAUGCAACCGUGUCAUACUAAUUCUUGGACCUGGUUAACUGAUAGUGUUGUUAUUUGUGAAUGGUUGCAGGAUCGUCCUUCGACGAAGGUCCACGCUGCUCCUGGCGGUGGCUCUUCCCUGGGCUACCUGUUUGGUGGCAAUUGAUGCCCACGUCGGAGCUCACCAAGUUAUCCUCCCCUGCCCCGCUGCAUGUUAUGCCAUGUCUGAAUCAUGAACAACUGGUGUUGUCGUUUCAUGUGUGUGUGUGCC